GAUGAACGCUGGCGGCGUGCCUAAUACAUGCAAGUCGAGCGAACAGACGAGGAGCUUGCUCCUCUGACGUUAGCGGCGGACGGGUGAGUAACACGUGGAUAACCUACCUAUAAGACUGGGAUAACUUCGGGAAACCGGAGCUAAUACCGGAUAAUAUAUUGAACCGCAUGGUUCAACAGUGAAAGACGGUUUUGCUGUCACUUAUAGAUGGAUCCGCGCCGCAUUAGCUAGUUGGUAAGGUAACGGCUUACCAAGGCAACGAUGCGUAGCCGACCUGAGAGGGUGAUCGGCCACACUGGAACUGGGACACGGUCCAGACUCCUACGGGAGGCAGCAGUAGGCAACCUUCCGCAAUGGGCGAAAGCUUGACGGAGCAACGCCGCGUGAGUGAUGAAGGUCUUCGGAUCGUAAAACUCUGUUAUUAGGGAAGAACCAAUGUGUAAGUAACUAUGCACGUCUUGACGGUACCUAAUCAGAAAGCCACGGCUAACUACGUG
Molecule: ribosomal RNA, 497 nt
Filed under: uncultured bacterium
Lineage: Bacteria
Description: partial 16S ribosomal RNA
Rfam family: Bacterial small subunit ribosomal RNA
Source: RNAcentral